This 479-nucleotide ribosomal RNA is filed under the name uncultured organism. RNAcentral's name for it is "partial 16S ribosomal RNA". It matches the Rfam family "Bacterial small subunit ribosomal RNA", at positions 330 to 800 of the family's 1533-position model. The record is from RNAcentral.
CGUACACUCCUGCGGGAGGCAGCAGUGGGGAAUAUUGCACAAUGGGCGCAAGCCUGAUGCAGCCAUGCCGCGUGUAUGAAGAAGGCCUUCGGGUUGUAAAGUACUUUCAGCGGGGAGGAAGGCGAUAAGGUUAAUAACCUUGUCGAUUGACGUUACCCGCAGAAGAAGCACCGGCUAACUCCGUGCCAGCAGCCGCGGUAAUACGGAGGGUGCAAGCGUUAAUCGGAAUUACUGGGCGUAAAGCGCACGCAGGCGGUCUGUCAAGUCGGAUGUGAAAUCCCCGGGCUCAACCUGGGAACUGCAUUCGAAACUGGCAGGCUAGAGUCUUGUAGAGGGGGGUAGAAUUCCAGGUGUAGCGGUGAAAUGCGUAGAGAUCUGGAGGAAUACCGGUGGCGAAGGCGGCCCCCUGGACAAAGACUGACGCUCAGGUGCGAAAGCGUGGGGAGCAAACAGGAUUAGAAACCCCGGUAGUCCCAUGA